Molecule: ribosomal RNA, 461 nt
Filed under: uncultured bacterium
Lineage: Bacteria
Description: partial 16S ribosomal RNA
Rfam family: Bacterial small subunit ribosomal RNA
Source: RNAcentral
AACAAACGCUGGCGGCGUGCCUAAUACAUGCAAGUCGAACGGGGAAAGCUUUCGGGUGAGUACUAGUGGCGCACGGGUGAGGAACGCGUGGAUAAUCUGCCUUAGAGUGGGGGUUAAUAGUCGGAAGAUUAGCCAAAACCGCAUAAGAACACGAGAGGUGCCGCUUUUGAGGUCAAAGGGUUUUCGCUCUAAGAUGAGUCCGCGUAAGAUUAGCUAGUUGGUGAGGUAACGGCUCACCAAGGCGACGAUCUUUAACUGGUCUGAGAGGAUGAUCAGUCACACUGGAACUGAGACACGGUCCAGACUCCUACGGGAGGCAGCAGUAGGGAAUAUUGCACAAUGGAGGAAACUCUGAUGCAGCGACGCCGCGUGAGUGAUGAAGGCCUUCGGGUCGUAAAGCUCUGUCGCAGGGGAAUAACACAAUGAAGGUACCCUGUAAGAAAGGAUCGGCUAACUUCGUG